UGAGUGGACCAGACAGUCGCGCAUUCUUCAGAAUGUGAGGAAAGUCCGAGCACCACAGGGCAGGAUAACGGCUAACGGCCGCCGCGGGUGACCGCCGGGAAAGUGCAACAGAGAUAUACCGCCUGCAUCGCAGGUAAGGGUGGAAAGGCGAGGUAAGAGCUCACCGGCACGUUGGAGACAGCGUGGCCCUGCAAACCCUAUCCGGUGCAAUGCUGACCGAAACGAUACAUUGGCCCGAUGUGUUUCAAAAAGCAGCUGGAGCCGUCUGGCAACAGACGGUCGAGAUAGAUGACUGUCCAACGACAGAACUCGGCUUAUCGGUCCACUCACAUU
Molecule: RNase P RNA, 333 nt
Filed under: Clostridia bacterium
Lineage: Bacteria; Bacillati; Bacillota; Clostridia
Description: RNase P RNA component class A
Rfam family: Bacterial RNase P class A
About the family: Ribonuclease P (RNase P) is a ubiquitous endoribonuclease, found in archaea, bacteria and eukarya as well as chloroplasts and mitochondria. Its best characterised activity is the generation of mature 5'-ends of tRNAs by cleaving the 5'-leader elements of precursor-tRNAs. Cellular RNase Ps are ribonucleoproteins.
Source: RNAcentral